Molecule: long non-coding RNA, 934 nt
Filed under: Arabidopsis lyrata
Lineage: Eukaryota; Viridiplantae; Streptophyta; Magnoliopsida; Brassicales; Brassicaceae
Description: long non-coding RNA (ALYR_LNC003024)
Source: RNAcentral
GUGCCUCUUAUUUAUCUUAACUCGUUGUUAUGUUACUAUAUGUCUAUAUAGCUUUAAAAGGAUGAAGUUGUGAUGUUUUGAUUGUCUAGGGAUCUCAAGUACUAAAGCUCAAUCAUGCAUGUUUCGCUGUAGUCUCUGUACGUUUAAGUUUUGACAUUUUACCAAACUCACUCACUGACUCACGUUAGGUUUGACUUGUAAAGAGUUGUAACACAAAUAAAAUGAAAAGAUGGCUAGUUGGGCCUAAGAUGGGCUUUAACAGGCCGGAUUUUUCACAAACAAGUCAAAGUUGUUUUCGUGAAGCCUUUGACCGAUUCCUUUACUCCAAAGAGGAAGAGUGGAAUACGACUCGUAGACGUCGACGUCUUUCUUUAAUGUACACCAUUGGAUCCCAUCUCAAUUUUUGCAAACUGGGUUCUCUUUUUCUUGAGGACUAGUUGCCUUAUUUAAUCACAUAUUGUUUCUUUAAAUGCUUACCACUUUCAUUUCUACAUCCGAAAAUAGCUUAAUUGGACAAGGAAACGAAUAUAUCAAUCUACGCGUCUAUCGAGCCCUUUAAUUCAGCAUUCAUUACGUUGCUUCGUAGUAGGAGCAUCAGAGUAUAUUAAUUCAAUGAAACCAGAUCAUCGGCUAAGAUUAUUAGCGUUGGUUCAUCACUAAAAACUCAAAUUCAAAAUUUAAAAGUUAUAAUGGUCCCCAAAAAAAAUAAUUUGAGUCACUUAUUUCUGUUCUAUCCGGGGAACGUCUCCAUUGACCAUUUUGGUUUGUUAAGCAAAAAGAGAUAGGAUUCUAAUUCUUCAACUUAGGUGGUGUUAUUCAAUGAUGGAUUUUAAUAGAAUUGAAAUCAAACACUAAUCCAGUGUUAUUCAACUAAUGAUUAUAAAUCUAAUGUUAAAAUCUGGUGUUAUUAGAUCUUAUACUUCAUUAGAUUUUA